This is a long non-coding RNA of Gallus gallus (chicken), 4294 nucleotides long. NCBI's taxonomy places the organism in Eukaryota, Metazoa, Chordata, Aves, Galliformes, Phasianidae. The record is from Ensembl.
CAAACAGCUGCUUGAACUUCACACCAAGGCUUAACUUCAUCCUGAGAAAGGUAAGAUCAACGCCUGAGCAGUUCACCCCGAACUCCCUUUCAAGUUCAUGAAGAUUUUAUUAGCACAUUCAAUAGAAUCAAGCAGCCUGGAAGGCCAACAGUAUCCUGGUCUGCAUCAAAAGAGAAGAGACAGCAGGAAGAGGGAGGUGAUUGUCCUCUCCUCUGCCCUCAAGAGCCCCCAUCUGAACUGCUGCAUUCAAGCUUGGGACCGCGAGCACAAGAAGGAUGCAAAACUGUUGAAGUGAGUCCAGAGGAGGCCAUGAAGAUGCUCAGAGGCUGGAGCACCUCACCUACUAAGACAGUCUGAGGAAGCUGGUGUUAUCUAUCCUGGAGAAAAGAAGAGUUUAAGGAGGCUUUAUUGUGGCAUUCCAGUACCUAAAGAGGCCUACAGAAAAGAUGGAGAGGGACUCCGUCAGGUGGUAGCAGAAAGGCUAAUGAUUCUUAACUAGAAGAGUGUAGAUUUAUACCAGAUAUUAGGAAGAAAUUCUUAAGGAAUUCUCCUUUAAGCGAUAGUAAACUAUUAAGUGUAAGCUAUUUAAAUCAGCUAACAUCUGAUGAGCAUCAUCUGAUUGAUUUAGUCUUACAGAUAAAUUUCAGUACAGCUAAUGAAUUAGCCUUUACUGAAGUAUGGAGGAACUCUAUGUUUACUGAUGAGCUGAGUCCAAUAAUUCUAAACAAAUUACAGUGUAUCAAAUGCUUACAGAAAAUUCAUCACAGUAUAGUAUAUGUAUAGUACAUUAAAAAGUUCGUUCCUUGGUGACUUUUACUAAAUAUAUUUCUCAUUUAGUUUAGAAAAGUGAAAUCUAUAUAGAAAAAUCUACAUAGAAAAAUUAUUACAAACAUUUUUCAUAUAAUUACCAUGAAAAUUAUUUACAACUUGAGUUACGGUUGCAAACAAGGGGAUCUGUCAGGAUUUCAGAGUGCUGGACAACAGAUGAACAACCAAAAUGCAGUCUCAGUCCCGAAGAGAUUACUAAUGAAUAACAUAAAACAUAAAAACAUUCUCAUCAGUCACCAUUAGAUUUAGGAAUUAUUGUUAAUAUGCAACAGAUGCUUCUAUUAAUCUAAAUUACAGCCAAUUUUCUAUGUGGAAAAGCCAUCACUAGGAUUGUUUCUACUGUCAGUAAUGAUAAUACUUUCAUAGCAGUUUUGAGCCUAAAAGUGCUUUACAAACAUUAGGUAACAAGCUUCCUAACACCUCAUAAAAUUAAUUUUAGGCAGGUGAAUGCAUGUUUCACUCAUUAUUUAAAAAAAUAAAAAGACAGGCACUUAUGGGUUCAUGUAGGAAGAAGGCAUUACUAGAAAUUACAAUCAAAUAUCAUGACUCUUAAGCUAUACUUCAACUGUUAUCUCCUGCCUCAGAAGUACAGGACACCAAUGUGCAUUCCCUUGUGCAUCCCUUCAUCUACUUUUUUAGUAAUAUCUUGCUUUCUGAGAAAAAGCUGGUGUGUCAGAAGGCUUUUCUUUUUUUUGGUUUUGGAUGUGGUUUUGCUUUUCUCACAUAUGUAACUUAGUCUAGCAAGGCCUAUUAUCUCUUCUUAUAAAUGCGACUUAAUGCAGUGGCACUUUGUGGCUCUUUCAUAAAAGAAAGUUGGUCUGUGUGCCCACAUAGAAGGAUAAAAUAGCAAUGUGUGUAGACAGAUGUAACAAACAAAAAUCGAAGUUCAGUCGUAGACACCAUUUCAUCAGGCCUGUUAAAAUACCUGGCUUAUACUGCAUGAGAUGCAGGAAAAGGAAUGGCAGAAUUAUUUACAACUGAAAUCAUGAAACUGAACCCAUAAAACCUGUUCAAUUUCUACACAUGGAGGAAAAAAAAGAAAAAAAAAAAAAAAGUAAUUUGGUAGAAAGAACAAAGGGACAGAUCACCAAAUAAGUUUUCUAUUACUCACAAACUGUAUCAUUCAGAUGAAUAUCAGCCAUUUCUAUACGUCGUUUUGGAAUGAUCCUCUCUGCAAUCCUGCCAUGCCCUGACAUAAUAUAACAAAGUUUCCCCUGCAGGGAAAUCCUGUUCCUUUUCAGUUUUGCUUGAGACCUUUUGAUGUUUCCAAAGUCCAUGUGCUAUUUGAUUCAUAAAAACAGAUGUGGUUUGGGACCUUACAAUAAAGGCCAGGUUUUUACCUGCCAAGAGUAUGUUUUAAAAGCUAACAUAUAUGACCCAGAUCCUCAGUUGCUGUGGACUGAAGUAGUUUCAUUAGUUUCAUUCACACAUCAAGAUGAACUUCUUCUAUAAAACAAGAUGAAUAGAUCACAAACAUGGGCAGAGUAUCCUUAAGCUUUUUAUGAUGAGACUCGGUUGGCCAAGGUCUUGAGGAGGAUUUGUUACACCUUUUCUUUUGAGUCACAAAAUGUUUAUCCAUCUCUAAAUCUACUACAGAAAUAUAAAAACUGUGACUUGUUGGCUUGGGCAAAUUAAAACACAGGUUUCGAAGAUGCUCAACUUCUCCCAAACCACCAAGUCCUUGAAGAUUUCCCCUCUGAUUUAGAGCCCAACAGCUUUCCUAGGUUUCAAAGAGUGGAUAAAAUUCAACAUAUUUCCCCUCAGACCAUAGAAAAUGCUUUCUUUCUACAUUGUUCCGGGCUCAGCUCAGGACUAUACUUCGCAGGGAGUCUUCCCUUGCUUUCUGGGGAUUCCUGUUAAUCUUCCAUGUGCUACAGUUUUUCUGUGUUUACACCUCUUGGGAUAUCUUAGGUUUUUCUUUUUUAAGUGCAUGGUAGCAUCUCAUAUACUAGAUGUAGGAUACUAAUUAAGUUUUAUUUUGGGCAUAAAAAAUUAAAUCAGUUUGGGUACUUGUGUCCUUAACUUUCAUUUAUGCAAACUGUUUUCCAUUGAAGAAUGCUUUGGAAAGACAAUCUGAAUACAAGACAAUUUGAAAACCAUCUUGUGGUUUGUCCAGGAAGCUGUUUGCAAAACAGUAUGAGAAAAAAAAGCAGUUAGCAAAAAUAAUUUUUGAUUUUACUUAAUUCCUGUAUUUCACAAUAAAAACACUCUUGGGAUUUUUAAUCUUAGUUUCACUGAUAUCAAACAGAAAAGAAGGUGCAGGAAGCCUUGAAAGUCCAAAAAGAUGGAUGCAUCUGAGGUAGAAUUAUAUUUUCCUUGCUGUAAGUUGCUAUGACAGAGAGCUCGAGACUGUGGUCUAAAAAGAUGUGACUUGAAGGUACAGGUGUAACACAGGUUGGAAGAUUAACACAUUGUUUUCUUAAUGUUACCUGAAGAAGUUCACACAAUCCAUAUUUCCACUCUGUUCAGGAAACCUGCUAUUGACUGGUGAGCCAAACCUGGCUGUGAGUCAGGUUUUGUUAAUUAUUCAGGUCAGAAUAAUUAACAAACAUCCAGACUUAGCAUACUGGACAUAAAUGUUGAGUAUUUACAUAUAAAAGGAUAUAAAAGAUAUUAGUUGCUCCAGAGAAACUACUAAGGCUGCCAGCUUGCCAUGUGCUCCUCAUGGAGAGCUGAAGUACCAUUACCUGGUUUUGCCAGUAAUGGGCAAACAACAGUGUGAUUCUAUGUUAACUCAUACUUAAAAUAAAAUUGCUUGUUUGGUGAUGCAUUUCUGUCCCUUAAUUUGCCCAGUGGUUGAGGUACCUUUAUCUCACAAGCAAAACUGCAGCUUGUAAAAUGUAAUUUGCAGAGGGAGGUUUUAGGAGUAUAUAGUAUCUGAUGAUUUCAGAUUUUCCAAGCAAAUUACAAGAAGGACAAGGGAAGCAGUAUUCAUAAAACACAGUUGAGACGGUGCUUUAAUUUUGAGAACAAUAAAAUAAAAACUCAGUCUUCUAAAGAGCAAGCAUUAUUUGAGAACAUGCAUUGGAUUCAGUAAAUAAACAGCAAAAAAGUGUGAAAGCAUAUUUUUUUCUUUACUAGAAUGGCAAUUAACUUUUUCUGAAAUAAAACUUUCUGCUCUGUAAGUGCUGAAGCAAAACCUUACACUUCAGAAAUACUGAAACGUCUUGCAUUAACAUUACCCAAACAAGCUUUUUGAAUUUUGAGUUCACUGUGGAGUUUUUUUCAUUUAAUGAAGAUGUCUAAUUUUAUUAACUUAUGUAAGUUAUGGGAGCCCAAGUAAAAGGCUAAAGAGAGGUAAUCAUCUGAAAUGAAAAGAAAUAUUUCCUUUCAGGUUGAACAGUCUAGACCAAGAAAUCCGCUAGUUGUUUAAUGCAGUCAUAAGGCUAUUUUUUUAUUCUCUGGCUUAUAAAACAAGCUCUGUAUCAUAUGUGAGAUAAUAAAAGAAUCUUCGCUGCUUUUCUGA